RNAcentral lists this ribosomal RNA (497 nucleotides) under uncultured bacterium. RNAcentral's name for it is "partial 16S ribosomal RNA". It matches the Rfam family "Bacterial small subunit ribosomal RNA", at positions 28 to 507 of the family's 1533-position model. The record is from RNAcentral.
GAUGAACGCUGGCGGCGUGCCUAAUACAUGCAAGUCGAGCGAACAGACGAGGAGCUUGCUCCUCUGACGUUAGCGGCGGACGGGUGAGUAACACGUGGAUAACCUACCUAUAAGACUGGGAUAACUUCGGGAAACCGGAGCUAAUACCGGAUAAUAUAUUGAACCGCAUGGUUCAAUAGUGAAAGACGGUUUUGCUGUCACUUAUAGAUGGAUCCGCGCCGCAUUAGCUAGUUGGUAAGGUAACGGCUUACCAAGGCAACGAUGCGUAGCCGACCUGAGAGGGUGAUCGGCCACACUGGACUGAGACACGGCCCAAACUCCUACGGGAGGCAGCAGUAGGGAAUCUUCGGCAAUGGACGAAAGUCUGACCGAGCAACGCCGCGUGAGUGAAGAAGGUUUUCGGAUCGUAAAACUCUGUUGGUAGAGAAGAACGUUGGUGAGAGUGGAAAGCUCAUCAAGUGACGGUAACUACCCAGAAAGGGACGGCUAACUACGUG